CUCGAGGCCAGAUCUUUCCGGUUGAUCCUGCCGGAAGUCACCGCUAUUGGAAUACGAUUAAGCCAUGCGAGUCGAGAGGGUACGGCCCUCGGCGCAACGCUCAGUAACACGUGGAUAAUCUGCCCUGAGGUGGGGGAUAACCUCUGCGAAAGUGAGAAUAAUACCCCAUAGGUGGGGGACGGCUGGAAUGCCACCCCGCUGAAACGAGCUAUCGCCUCAGGAUGAGUCUGCGGCCUAUCAGGUUGUAGUGGGGGUAAGGUCCCUACUAGCCUUCGACGGGUACGGGCCUUGGGAGAGGUAGCCCGGAGAUGGAUUCUGAGACAUGAAUCCAGGCCCAACGGGGCGCAGCAGGCGCGAAAACUUCACAAUGCGGGAAACCGCGAUGAGGGUAUUCCAAGUGCGUGCGCAAUGCGUACGCUUUUCUCCAGUCUAGAUCGCUUGAGGAAUAAGGGCUGGGUAAGACCGGUGCCAGCCGCCGCGGUAACACCGGCAGCCCAAGUGGUGAUCACUUUUAUUGGGCCUAAAGCGUCCGUAGCCGGCUCGGUAAGUCCUUGGGUAAA
This 560-nucleotide ribosomal RNA is filed under the name uncultured archaeon. Its description in RNAcentral is "bacterial SSU rRNA". It matches the Rfam family "Archaeal small subunit ribosomal RNA", at positions 1 to 549 of the family's 1478-position model. The record is from RNAcentral.